GACGAACGCUGGCGGCGUGCCUAACACAUGCAAGUCGAGCGGAGUCGAUCGACGGAAGCCUUCGGGCGGAAGAUGGUUGACUUAGCGGCGGAUGGGUGAGUAACGCGUGGGCAACCUGCCUCGAAGACCGGGAUAACAGCCCGAAAGGGCUGCUAAUACCGGAUGUGGUCAAGGAUCCGCAUGGAUUUUUGAUUAAAGGGGAAACCCGUUUCGAGAUGGGCCCGCGUCCUAUCAGCUAGUUGGUGAGGUAAAAGCUCACCAAGGCGACGACGGGUAGCCGGCCUGAGAGGGUGACCGGCCACACUGGAACUGAGACACGGUCCAGACUCCUACGGGGGGCAGCAGUGGGAAUCUUCCACAAUGGGCGAAAGCCUGAUGGAGCGACGCCGCGUGAGCGAAGAAGGCCUUCGGGUUGUAAAGCUCUGUCGUGGAGGGACGAAGGAAGUGACGGUACCUCCGGAGGAAGCCGACGGACUAACUACGUGCCAGCAGCCGACGGUAAAAGUGUGUGUA
Molecule: ribosomal RNA, 513 nt
Filed under: uncultured bacterium
Lineage: Bacteria
Description: bacterial SSU rRNA
Rfam family: Bacterial small subunit ribosomal RNA
Source: RNAcentral